AAGUCGUAACAAGGUUUCCGUAGGUGAACCUGCGGAAGGAUCAUUAACACUUUACAAUCUAAAAACAACAAAACAACUGAGCCACUUUAUUUCUCCCUUAUCUGUCGCUGGGGACAGCACGAUAAGGCUAACCUUUUUUUAUUUUUCUAACCCCAUUUUAUAAUAAAAAUUUCCCUUUUUUGGGUUUUUUUUAUUUAUAUUCUACCUAUUCGUUUAUAAAAGUCGUCGAAAGGCGAAAAAUAAAACAAACGAACUAACUAAAAUAUUUUUGUGUAAAAACCAAAAUAUAUUUUAAUUUACGAAACAAUAUAUUCUUUAUAUAAGAACAACUCUUAGCAAUGGAUAUCUUGGUUCUC
RNAcentral lists this unclassified non-coding RNA (356 nucleotides) under fungal sp. RNAcentral describes it as "partial internal transcribed spacer region". The stretch from base 1 to 46 matches the Rfam family "Eukaryotic small subunit ribosomal RNA", at positions 1786 to 1831 of the family's 1831-position model. Lineage: Eukaryota; Fungi. RNAcentral also lists the same sequence under 1 other name. The record is from RNAcentral.